Molecule: ribosomal RNA, 2278 nt
Filed under: human gut metagenome
Description: bacterial LSU rRNA
Rfam family: Bacterial large subunit ribosomal RNA
Source: RNAcentral
UCAAGCUACUAAGGGCAUACGGUGGAUGCCUAGGCGCCAAGAGCCGAAGAAGGACGCGGUAAGCUGCGAAAAGCCACGGGGAACUGCAAGCAAGUAUUGAUCCGUGGAUAUCCGAAUGGGGAAACCCGGCCAUCGUCAUGGAUGGUCACCCGCAAGGGAGGGAACCUGGGGAACUGAAACAUCUAAGUACCCGGAGGAAGAGAAAUCAAACGAGAUGCCCACAGUAGCGGCGAGCGAAGAGGGCAGAGCCCAAACCGAGAAGCUCCGGCUUUUCGGGGUUGAGGACCGGCAGAAUCGAAGUCAGGCCUAGUUGAAUUACCUGGAAAGGUAAGCGAGAGAGGGUAAAAGCCCCGUAGACGAAAGGCAGAGCAGAGAGGCCGAGAUCCAGAGUACCACGAAGCACGAGGAAUUUUGUGGGAAGCAGGGGGGACCACCCUCCAAGGCUAAAAACUACUUGGCGACCGAUAGCGCAUAGUACCGUGAGGGAAAGGUGAAAAGAACCCCGGGAGGGGAGUGAAAUAGUACCUGAAACCGUAUGUCUACAAGCAGUCGAAGCGAAAGCGACGGCGUGCCUAUUGAAGAAUGAACCAACGAGUUAUCUGCACUAGCGAGGUUAAGUGGAAGACACGGAGCCGCAGCGAAAGCGAGUCUUAAGAGGGCGCUAGUUAGUGUAGGUAGACCCGAAACCGCAGUGAUCUACCCAUGUCCAGGUUGAAGCGCAGGUAAAAUUGCGUGGAGGACCGAACCGGUGAGCGUUGAAAAGCUUUCGGAUGAGAUGUGGGUAGGGGUGAAAUUCCAAUCGAACGCGGAGAUAGCUGGUUCUCCCCGAAAUAGCUUUAGGGCUAGCCUGAGGUAGUAAGUAUAGGCGGUAGAGCACUGAUCGGGCUAGGGGCCGUAAAGGUUACCGAACCCUGUCAAACUCCGAAUGGAUAUACUGUAGAGCCUUGGAGUCAGACUACGAGUGAUAAGAUCCGUGGUCAAAAGGGAAACAGCCCAGACCACCAGCUAAGGUCCCCAAUGUCGUACUAAGUGGAAAAGGAUGUGGGGUUUCAUAAACAACCAGGAUGUUGGCUCAGAAGCAGCCACCAUUUAAAGAGUGCGUAAUAGCUCACUGGUCGAGAGACCCUGCGCCGAAGAUUCCCGGGGCUAAAGUACGAAACCGAAGCUGUGGCUGUAUACGUAAAGUAUACGGGGUAGGGGAGCGUUCCCAUAGGGUAGAAGUCGAACUGGAAGGUUCGGUGGACUUGUGGGAAGUGAGAAUGUUGGUAUGAGUAGCGAAAAGAAAGGUGAGAAUCCUUUCCACCGAAAGCAUAAGGAUUCCUGAGCAACGAUCGUCGUCUCAGGGUAAGUCGGGACCUAAUCCGAGGCAGAGAGCGUAGGAGAUGGACAACUGGUUGAUAUUCCAGUACCGGUAGUAAUUGUUUGAGCAAUGGAGUGACACAGAAGGGCAGGCAAGCAUGCGAAUGGAAGAGCAUGUGUAAGCGUGUAGGGUGGUGCAUAGGCAAAUCCGUGCACUGAAAGCCUGAGGCGUGAUGCGGAGUGAGCAGAGAUGCGAGCGAAGUUGUUGACCCCACACUGUCGAGAAAAGCUUCUAGUGAGAGAGCUACCGCCCGUACCGUAAACCGACACAGGUAUGCGGGGAGAGAAUCCUAAGGUGCGCGGGAGAACCCUCGUUAAGGAACUCGGCAAAAUGUACCCGUAACUUCGGGAUAAGGGUAGCCACUGUUGUGAAGUCCCAUGCGGAUGGAGCAUAGAGUGGUCGCAGAGAAGAGGCCCAAGCGACUGUUUACCAUAAACACAGGUGCCUGCUAAAGCGAAAGCUGACGUAUAGGUGCUGACACCUGCCCAGUGCCGGAAGGUUAAGGAAGGAUGUUCGGAUUAGUCCAAAGCAUUCGACUGAAGCCCCGGUGAACGGCGGCCGUAACUAUAACGGUCCUAAGGUAGCGAAAUUCCUUGUCGGGUAAGUUCCGACCCGCACGAAAGGUGUAACGAUUUGGGCACUGUCUCAACGAGGGACCCGGUGAAAUUGAAAUACCUGUGAAGAUGCAGGUUACCCGCGACUGGACAGAAAGACCCCAUGGAGCUUUACUGUAACCUGACAUUGGGUUUUGAUACAUUACGUACAGGAUAGGUGGGAGGCAUGGAAAGCUGGACGCUAGUCUGGCUGGAGCCGCCGUUGGGAUACCACCCUUGAUGUAUUGAAAUUCUAACCGCGAGAGUAACGAAAUCCGGGACAGUGUCAGGCGGGCAGUUUGACUGGGGCGGUCGCCUCCGAAAG